RNAcentral lists this ribosomal RNA (452 nucleotides) under Morganella morganii. RNAcentral's name for it is "partial 23S ribosomal RNA". It matches the Rfam family "Bacterial large subunit ribosomal RNA", at positions 2202 to 2653 of the family's 2925-position model. Lineage: Bacteria; Pseudomonadati; Pseudomonadota; Gammaproteobacteria; Enterobacterales; Morganellaceae. The record is from RNAcentral.
ACCCUUUAACGUUUGAUGUUCUAACCCGGGUCCAUAAUCUGGAUCGGGGACCGUGUCUGGUGGGUAGUUUGACUGGGGCGGUCUCCUCCCAAAGAGUAACGGAGGAGCACGAAGGUUGGCUAAGCAUGGUCGGACAUCAUGCGGUUAGUGCAAAGGCAUAAGCCAGCUUGACUGCGAGAGUGACGGCUCGAGCAGGUACGAAAGUAGGUCUUAGUGAUCCGGUGGUUCUGAAUGGAAGGGCCAUCGCUCAACGGAUAAAAGGUACUCCGGGGAUAACAGGCUGAUACCGCCCAAGAGUUCAUAUCGACGGCGGUGUUUGGCACCUCGAUGUCGGCUCAUCACAUCCUGGGGCUGAAGUAGGUCCCAAGGGUAUGGCUGUUCGCCAUUUAAAGUGGUACGCGAGCUGGGUUUAGAACGUCGUGAGACAGUUCGGUCCCUAUCUGCCGUGGGCG